GACGAACGCUGGCGGCGUGCUUAACACAUGCAAGUCGAGCGGUAAGGCCCUUUCGGGGGUACACGAGCGGCGAACGGGUGAGUAACACGUGGGUAACCUGCCCUCAGCUCUGGGAUAAGCCCGGGAAACUGGGUCUAAUACCGGAUAUGACCUCGUAUCGCAUGGUGGCGGGGUGGAAAGUGUUCAGUGGCUGAGGAUGGGCCCGCGGCCUAUCAGCUUGGUUGGUGGGGUGANGGCCUACCAAGGCGACGACGGGUAGCCGGCCUGAGAGGGCGACCGGCCACACUGGGACUGAGAUACGGCCCAGACUCCUACGGGAGGCAGCAGUGGGGAAUCUUGCGCAAUGGGCGAAAGCCUGACGCAGCGACGCCGCGUGAGGGAUGACGGCCU
RNAcentral lists this ribosomal RNA (390 nucleotides) under uncultured bacterium. RNAcentral's name for it is "bacterial SSU rRNA". It matches the Rfam family "Bacterial small subunit ribosomal RNA", at positions 28 to 417 of the family's 1533-position model. The record is from RNAcentral.